UACACACCGCCCGUCACGCCAUGGAAGCUGGGGGGACCUGAAGCCGGUGGGCUAACCGCAAGGAGGCAGUCGUCAAAGGUCAAUUCAGUGACUGGGGCG
RNAcentral lists this ribosomal RNA (99 nucleotides) under uncultured bacterium. RNAcentral's name for it is "partial 16S ribosomal RNA". It matches the Rfam family "Bacterial small subunit ribosomal RNA", at positions 1384 to 1482 of the family's 1533-position model. The record is from RNAcentral.